AGUUGCUGAUGAACUUCUAAAAACUGCCAAUUGGUGUGUGGCUAGGCAGAAAGAGAGAAGUAUUUCUGCCUCCUAUUUUGGAAAGUCUGAGCCAAGUGCUAGGGUGAGCAAGUUCCCAGGACUCUAAUUUGAGGUAGAGAACUUGGAGAAUCCACACAGGGAGGCCCUCCAGAAGUCUUGUUUCCUUGGGCUUUUCUAGAAGCAAAACUUGGCUUGAGGCCCAGACUUUGGAGGGAGGACCUAGGACCAUGUGGCACAUAAGGGCAUGCUCUCUGGCCAGGCUGAGCUCUGGAAGGUUGCAGCUCAAGCCAGCCUGGCACCUUCUCUGGUGUUGAGGAUUGUAUAAUCUCCACUUACCAGGGCAUCAAUUCUAGAAUGGUCAUCUGAGAUUCCUAUUGGAUCAAAUGGAAAAUUAAAGCAAUAUCAAUGGUUAUCAUUAUGGCAACUGUGAGUGGGAGCCAUGAUAAGUCACCAGGGAGCUGUCACAUGGUAUAGAACACAUACAAAACAACCGUGCAGAGCAGCUCUCCACGAGUGGUAGGUGAAUAUGAUCCACCAGGUUUGCAUUGGACUACAAAGGUGAGAUUGCCUGGCCUGUGGCCAUGAGGCCGGCUGCACCUCAGGGUAAAGGUGCACUUGAGCUGGGAUUUGAAGGACCAGAGGAGUAGAAAGAUUAGAGUGGGAGGGACCAGCCAACAUGGAAGGAGAAUGGGAAUAAUUCCAGGAGUAAACAGCUGAAGUGGGUUGAUUAGACUCCAGUGCUUUCAGAUGUAUCAAUCUGUGCAUACCUUCACAACAUCCCUGGCAAGAGUGAGACAUAACUGCUGACUCCCUUGGCCCCAUCCAGAGCUCCUGGGCAGUCACUGCGGCCACAGUGCCAUCUCCCUACACCAGGACUCUUCUGUCUUCAGUCUUCUUAUGCCACAGACUUUCCAACUGAAUUCCUCUCUCAGAUCGAGUACUUCCCUUCAGUGUAGGUUAGGACGCUUCAGCUCUCAAGUUAGUCCAAGAACUAACCGAAACUCCGCCUUCCUUGCUAGUGAAAGGAAAUGGUCCCUGACUCAUGCAUUCAAAACCAACGGGCUGUGUAAUUUGGGGCAACUCCUCCUCUCCUCCAGAAAUGAUCAAGAAAGAAGCAAGGGGGUGUCAUUUGGGACCAUAAAACACAGUGGAACUUCCAAAUUGGAAAGAAUGAUCAAAAGACUUUUAAAGAUCCUAAAUUGGAUAAAAAUUGUUUUAUGAUGGCUGAAACUUGACUGCUUACAGAAAGAGAAGUGUUAUGAAAUUGCAAGAGAUCUGUUACGUUGCAGGUGGGGUGUUUGAUCAACAGUUGAAAUGUUAUGUAACAAAGAAAUUUCUUUCUUUUUUUUUUUCUUUUUUUAGUAAUUUGGAAAAGUAGAAUUGUGCUUUGUGCAGUGUGCUUUUAAAAUAAUUUGGAAAUGCAUUGGUUAAACCUAGGAGGAAGGAUCUGAUAACCCUGAUUAAAUAUUAAAGUAAUGCUGCAAAGAAAACUGCAAAGAAGACUACCUUCCCUUGUGAUCACAAAUUGACUGCUAGUGGCUUGCUGGACACCAUGUUUCUUCUCUUACCUCUGUCCCAGUCACAGAAUGACAGCCUGUCCCAUUUGUCUCCCCGUACCAAAGGGGUCACUUUUCCCAGUCCAAACCACUAGUAGUUGUAGGGGGUGUCAUGUGCCAAUUGGCUUGGACUGAAGUUUCUGACAUUACUACUGUAACGCUGAUGGAAUCACCAUAUUUGACUGAGACGAAUCAGGACCCCAUUCCUGUGGCUGGGAAUGGAAUUGUCAUCUCUUGUGUCUCACGAGUUGUGAGGGGAACAAAUGAAUCAUGGUGGAAGUUCGGGUUCUGAUGCCAAGGGAGAAGGCAGGGAUGGGUGCUGAGGGAAGAGCUUCUGUGAGGGGCAAGCUCCUCUUGCCCUUGCAGAGGUCAUGCUCAAGUACAGUCCCAACACACCCUAACUCCCUUCUUGUCUGUUUUCCUGGUUGUACAAAAAGCCAGACACAAGCAGGUGGCAGUGCCAGCUUCUGUUUCGGUGAAGAACUUGUGCGUCUUGGAGUGGGGCUGAGAAGGGAGAAGAGUUCAGUGAGGACUUCCGACCUGCAGAGCCAGGAGUCCUGGGGAAAGGAAGCAAGUGGUCAUGAGUUGUCAUCAGGAGAGAAUCCUCCUGUCUGUCCCAUCUCCCAACUUUACUUUUGGACUCCCCUAUUUGUGCAUUCCACUAAGAUAAAAUCAUAAAAUGAUGGAUUCAAAUGAAUUCAAAGCAUGCACUGUAUCUGAGAGGCAGCAGCCAGUCCUCCACUGUGUGGCUCCUGGUGGCACGGCUAAAGCUGACCCACAGAGGAUCACACAGGGGCUCUGACCCAAAAAGCCUGGAAUCCCGUCUUCCUUCUGAUUUUCUGUUCAUGGGUUUUUAUUCAGUUUCAGGUGGGGUUUCUGUUACUUGUUUGUUUGUUUUUAUUUGCCCAAAGCAUCCAAAUGGGGGCUGGGUGGCAGGCCUGAAGAGAACAGUGAGAAUCUGGGAAGGCCCUGGGGCUCUUCUUUCCACACCAUUCCUGCUAGCAGAAGUGCACAAAGACCACUCACCUUACACCUUACACCACAGAGAGCCCUUGGGUGGGGAGUUCGGCCCUUUAGCAAGCCCAGAUCCCUGUAGAGUGCUGACCAAGUGGGACUGCAACAGCAGGAGAACAGGAGUCCCAGCUGUGUUCUUGUGACCAAUCUUAAUCUCAGUUUCUGUUUCCUUCAUUUCUUCUUUUUUGUUAAAAUUUCACUUCUAUUUCUACUGACAUUAUUAUUCCCCCAUUAUUAGCAGCUGUUUGGGCAAUGAUAAAGUUCACCAUGGACUUCAAAUCAUCAAGAUUGGACUGCAAUGGAAUAAGAGGUGAAAUGGAACUUCUUGAGAGAUCGUAAACUCAGAACUAAGUCUUUUUUUAACCUGUGCUGUGCUGGGGAUUGAACCCACGGCCUCGUAAUUCACUGAGUUACGACCUCAGCUAAGUUUUUACUUUCAGAUACAAAAGAUGGCAUGACUUUGGGUCACCUUUCAUUGAAGAGGGGACAGGAGUGUUUACAAUUACAUGUGGAAACUCAUAAGCCCUGGGACAGGAAUGCUUCUGGAAAACCUCAGAAGGAUUUGUGAGGGCACAUGACUAGGCUGGUGUUGGAAUACAGGUGGUCCCUUUCUGCCCAGCGCCUGUCGUUUGGAGAAGAGUCUUCACCUACUUCAUGUAGCUCUUAGUCCAGGUCCUUCAAGAAGCAGAUGGCAAGAUGGGAUUAAUUUGUGUAAAGAAAUGUAUGUGGGGAAAUGCCUGUCAGAGAAAACGGGGAGGAAGCCAGGAGAGGCUGGGAGAGCAUCAGACUCAGUCUGGUGAAAGAAGAGGGGAAACAGGAAGGAAGAUGGGGUAGAACAGUCUUAGAAUAAAGAACAGUUCUGAAGUCUAUUCCAGGGAGUCUUGCUCAAGCUUCCCAAGAAGGGGCUUGCCUCGUACCCCUACUGGGGCGGUUAUUGACUGGGAGCUGCCUGAGAGGGAAUCUAGGCUCAGUGCUGUCCUCAGGUGGAUUUCAGAGCAGCCUCAGGCUCUCAAUCAUUUAGGUUCCCUGCCACUGGGGAUUCGAGAGGUGUAUCCCCAUCAGCUGAGCAGUCAGUUACAGGAGGGAGCACCCUGGCUCCCCGCCCACACAGGGGAAGGAGACUAAGUUGGGCCAGCACACACCUCUCAGGAAUUUGAACUUCCCUGGAGGAAACUCACAGAGGCCUUGAGGAGUCAGAGUCCCACAGUGGCACAGUCUCUGGGGGGAUACCCCAGCUGCCUUGAUUCCAUUUCAAGACUUUAUGGGUCAGACCUUUGAUAUGUGAAGUUUUCAGUAUAGUUCCAGUACCUGCAUACCUCUUUGUUUUAAAAUAUUUUAGAGUUUUUCUAUUGCUUGUAAAUUUCCAAGAACCCUAGUGGAGGUGGGGGAAAGGAGCUAGUUUUUAAAAAUAAAUAAAUGUUUUUAGAGAUAAACAACAACUACAACAAAAUAACCCAAUCAACAAAUGGGCCAAAGAUCUAAACAGACACUUCACAGAUGAAGAUAUACAAGUAAUCAACAAGUACACAGAAAAAUGCUCACCAUCGCUAGCUAUCAGAGAAAUGCAAAUUAAAACCACUCUAAGAUACCAUCUCACUCCAGUAAGAAUGGCAGCCAUUAUGAAGUCAAACAAUAACAAGUGCUGGCGAGGAUGUGGAGAAAAAGUUACACUCGUACAUUGCUGGUGGGACUGCAAACUGGUGCAGCCAAUUUGGAGAGCAGUAUGGAGAUUCCUUGGAAAGCUAGGAAUGGAACCAUCAUUUGACCCAGCUAUUCCCCUUCUCGGACUAUACCCAAAAGACCUAAAAAGAACAUACUACAUGUGUACAGCACAAUUCACAAUAGCUAGACUGUGGAACCAACCCAGAUGUCCUUCAACAGAUGAAUGGAUUAAAAAAAUGUGGCAUUUAUACACAAUGGAAUAUUAUUCAGCAGUAAAAAAUAACAAAAUCAUGGCAUUUGCAGGGAAAUGGAUGGCACUAGAGCAAAUUAUGCUAAGCGAAGUUAACCAAUCCCUAAAAAACAAAUGUCAAAUGUUCUCUGAUAUAAGGGAGGUGACUCAAAACAAAGUAGGAAGGAAGAGCAUGAGAAGAAGAUUACCAUGAAGUAAGGAAAAGAGGAGGGAGGGAAAAGGAGGGAGAAGGGAAAUGCACAGAAAAUGGAAGGAGACUCUCCUGGGUUCACAAAAUACAUAUACAAUGGUGUGAGGGGGAAGGGAAGGGAAAAAAAGAGAGAGAGAGAGAGAGAGAUAAGUAUCACAGUAGAAUGGGUAGACAAUAGGGAUGUGAGGGGAGGGGAGGGGAGAGGAGGAUAGGGAGGGCAGUAGAAUACAACUGACAUUAGGAUUGCUGUAUGUAUACACGUGAAUGUAUAACCAAUGUGAUCCUGCAAUCUGUACACGUGGAAAAAUGAGAAUUCAUAUCUUAUUUGAAUCAAAUGUAUGAUAUGUCAAGAUCAUUGUAUUGUCUUGAACAACUAAUAAAAAAUAAAAAUAAAAUAAAUAAAUAAAAAAAAUAAAAGGAGGCUGUACUCCUUGAACAAGCUUACAACAUGACGAUGACAAAUCAACUAAAUCGAGCAAAGUGCUCUUCUGCACACUUGAUGGUAACAAAAUACUUGAACUUUAUCUGGAAAAAUACACCAAAAUAUUAACAGAUGUAACUUAAGGCAGUUAGAUGGUAGGAGACUAUCACUUCUACAUUAGCUGUUUUUUAUUAUAUUCAAAACUUUUUAUAAAAAGCAUAAAAAUGAAGAAUUAUUACAAAACAUUUUAUACACAAAAUUCCAAAAAAAUACACUGAAGACUUGUGAUAUGAUAAGCAAAUGAGAAGUGGCUCUGGAUCCUCCCUCACGGCAGAGUUCUCUCCCCACCAAAACAAGCAUUGACUUUAAACUUGGGGCUGCUUUGCCUGGGUGUGGUGUCGUUUUGU
This is a long non-coding RNA of Marmota monax (woodchuck), 5521 nucleotides long. RefSeq lists it as uncharacterized. The transcript is spliced from 3 exons. The record is from RefSeq and is a predicted model, not a curated record. Lineage: Eukaryota; Metazoa; Chordata; Mammalia; Rodentia; Sciuridae.